RNAcentral lists this ribosomal RNA (536 nucleotides) under uncultured bacterium. RNAcentral's name for it is "partial 16S ribosomal RNA". It matches the Rfam family "Bacterial small subunit ribosomal RNA", at positions 355 to 883 of the family's 1533-position model. The record is from RNAcentral.
UGGGGAAUUUUGGACAAUGGGGGAAACCCUGAUCCAGCCAUCCCGCGUGUGCGAUGAAGGCCUUCGGGUUGUAAAGCACUUUUGGCAGGAAAGAAACGUCGCGGGUUAAUACCCCGCGGAACUGACGGUACCUGCAGAAUAAGCACCGGCUAACUACGUGCCAGCAGCCGCGGUAAUACGUAGGGUGCAAGCGUUAAUCGGAAUUACUGGGCGUAAAGCGUGCGCAGGCGGUUCGGAAAGAAAGAUGUGAAAUCCCAGAGCUUAACUUUGGAACUGCAUUUUUAACUACCGGGCUAGAGUGUGUCAGAGGGAGGUGGAAGUUCCGCGUGUAGCAGUGAAAUGCGUAGAUAUGCGGAGGAACACCGAUGGCGAAGGCAGCCUCCUGGGAUAACACUGACGCUCAUGCACGAAAGCGUGGGGAGCAAACAGGAUUAGAUACCCUGGUAGUCCACGCCCUAAACGAUGUCAACUAGCUGUUGGGGUCUUCGGACCUUGGUAGCGCAGCUAACGCGUGAAGUUGACCGCCUGGGGAGUAC